GAUAAACGCUGGCGGCAUGCCUAAUACAUGCAAGUCGAACGGAGGUGCUUGCACCUCAGUGGCGAACGGGUGAGUAACACGUAUCUAAUCUACCUUCUAGCGCGGGAUAACUUUUGGAAACGAAAGGUAAUACCGCAUGUGGAUAUUAUUAUCGCAUGAGAAAAUAUUCAAAGAUCCGUUUGGAUCACUAGAAGAUGAGGAUGCGGCGUAUUAGCUAGUAGGCGGGGUAAGAGCCCACCUAGGCGAUGAUACGUAGCCGAACUGAGAGGUUGAUCGGCCACAUUGGGACUGAGAUACGGCCCAGACUCCUACGGGAGGCAGCAGUAGGGAAUUUUUCACAAUGGACGAAAGUCUGAUGAAGCAAUGCCGCGUGAGUGAUGA
RNAcentral lists this ribosomal RNA (381 nucleotides) under uncultured Entomoplasmatales bacterium. RNAcentral describes it as "bacterial SSU rRNA". It matches the Rfam family "Bacterial small subunit ribosomal RNA", at positions 28 to 411 of the family's 1533-position model. Lineage: Bacteria; Bacillati; Mycoplasmatota; Mollicutes; Entomoplasmatales. The record is from RNAcentral.